GACGAACGCUGGCGGCGUGCUUAACACAUGCAAGUCGAACGGGAAGGCCCUGCCUUUGUGGGGUGCUCGAGUGGCGAAAGGGGGAGUAACACGUGAGUUACCUGCCCCUGCCUUUGGGGUAAACUCAGGAAAAUGGGGCUAAUACCGGGUAAGAGCUCCUGCCGCAUGGUGGGGGUUGGAAAGUUUCGGCGGUUGGGGAUGGACUCGCGGCUUAUCAGCUUGUUGGUGGGGUAGUGGCUUACCAAGGCUUUGACGGGUAGCCGGCCUGAGAGGGUGACCGGCCACAUUGGGACUGAGAUACGGCCCAGACUCCUACGGGAGGCAGCAGUGGGGAAUAUUGCACAAUGGGCGGAAGCCUGAUGCAGCAACGCCGCGUGCGGGAUGACGGCCUUCGGGUUGUAAACCGCUUUCGCCUGUGACGAAGCGUGAGUGACGGUAAUGGGUAAAGAAGCACCGGCUAACUACGUG
Molecule: ribosomal RNA, 468 nt
Filed under: uncultured bacterium
Lineage: Bacteria
Description: partial 16S ribosomal RNA
Rfam family: Bacterial small subunit ribosomal RNA
Source: RNAcentral